GCCGGGCGCCUGGAGUUGGCCUCUGGCUGGGUCCGCUCUGAUGCCUCCGUUCGAGCGGCGCUGGUCCAGGCCGUGACGGCCUGCGAUGAGGAGAAGCAGGCCAUCCUCCAAGCUAAGGUUGCUCGCGACGCCGCCUUGGGUGAGGCUGCGGAUGUCCGGGGCCGCUGCAAGGCGCUGGAGAGCGAGCUGCAAGGCCUGCGCGACGAGCUCGCCAAGGAGGUCCGUGACCGCCAGGAGAAGGAGAAGGAGAGGAAGACUCGAGAUGCUCCUGUCAGGGACCAGGACGCCGAGCUUGAUGAACGUCGUGGUCGGUUGGAGACGCUGGAACAGGCGUUGGAGGCGGAGAGGAUCAAGCUGGACAGCAAGGCGAGGGUCCUGGCCGAGGACCGUGUGGCCUUCGCGCAGCUGGAGAAGAGGGCUCGCGCCUCGCUGAAGACACUUUAUGAUGGCGGCCUGGAAAAGCCGCUAGCUGGCGCCGAGGAUGGCCCCGCCAAGUUGCUUCCCUUCCUGGUCCGCGCACUUGAAGAUGUCACGGACGGCCUUGGCCCCACAGCCAAGGCCGAGGCACGUGUUCUUUCUUCUGCAGCGCUGGCGCGUGUCUUCACCCACGUCCAUCUUCACGACCCCAAUAUCGAUCUUGACAGCCUGCAAGCGGCAAGCUUGCCGCUGCCGCUGCUGAGGCAGUGAAGGGUCAAGCGGAAGCCCUGCUGGCGAGGUUCCGCGCCUUCAGCACCAGGCCAAGGUGAGCUGCUGCCAACCCUGGGGCUUCGGGAGGUGGAGCCGCCCAGCGUAACUCCACCACCAGCGAUGGCACCGCCGGAAAGUGACCCCUCCGCGGCUUCUAUCCUGUUUUAGUUCCUGCAACAUGCAUCAUGCCUCGUGGAGGCGUUUAAACUUGUGUUUGGCGUUGUGAAAACAACCUAUGGACUGUAAUAUUUGCUUUUGAAUUCCUUGAGAUUUGCGCUUUUCCUUCCUACUUGCUUGUCUUCUAUGUCGGCAGGGCCCGGCCCCGCGCAUACCUCAGCCGCCGUUAGCCCCGACCGGAAACCAGGACGGGACCAAGGAGUGAGGGGCUAUGUGACCAGUUAGGCUCCUGAGUCGCGAUGCUUAGGAGUCUCCCUUGACGCGCGAACAACAAGUAGGAAGGGGAGGCAUAGAAGUGGAUCUACCGUUCUACGUCGGCAGGGCCCGGCCCCGCGCAUACCUCAACCGCCAUUAGCCCCGACCGGAAACCAGGAUAGGACCAAGGAGUGAGGGGCUACGUGACCAGUUAGGCUCCUGGGUCGCGAUGCUCAGGAGUCCCCCUUGACGUUCAAACGGCCUUCGUACCUUAGCUCCGCUCAGGGAAGGGCGCGCGACGAACCAGGCCCGAGGGGCCUGGCUGGGUGGUGUGCGCUCGGGCGUGGCCCGGGCGCAGCCCCCGUGUCCAGCCCCCUCGCGUGGCACUCCCGAGGGGAGGCGUUACGAUAGGGCUGGAUACUGAGCUCUGGGCUCCCUGAGGUUGAUGCGGUCGUGGGCCACCCUUAGUUGUUUAUCACCAGCGCGGAGCAUAGUGCUUCUAUAUGUGUACGGGCAUAGCCGCUCCUCGGCAGUGUCGUCGGCCAGCACGGAGCAUGGUGCUUCCACUGGUGCGUGGGAGGGGGCUCCCCUCCGGGAGGAGCCCCCAGGGCGUGUACAGCCCUGCCCUGACACGUGGCUGGCACGGUAGGGCUUGACGACGUGUAUCUGGGCACCCGUGAGCCAGCGCGGGACUCACGGGGCCCUACCUCAAGGCGGGUUGCGCCUGGCACUGGGCCUUUGUUUGUAAUGUGCUCCUGCAAAUUUGGUUAGAUGCCGACGCUCUACGUCCUCAGGUCCCGGGCCUCGAGCGAGCUCAGCCGUCGCUGGUAUGCCAGGUCGCGAUGCCGUGGACAAGGCCAGGAGGUGAGGGCUGGAGAGCUAGUAAGAGUCCAUGAGUCGCGAUGCUCAGGUACCCCCCCUUUUAACAUGCAAGCGGUUGGCAUGAGGGAGGGCGCCAUCACAGACAUCAAGUAAUAAUCAUGGCUGGUCAAAUGCACGACCUGAAUAGAUGCGAGAAAGAUACAUGCCACUGGGUCAGGCCCGAGUAGCUUGGGGAUAAUGCAGCCCGAGGGGCGCCCCCAACAAAGUAACCUAAAGGCAUGAACAAAAGAGAUACAUGCCGCAGGAACGGACCCACGCGGCCUAGGAAUGAUGCAGCCCUGGGGGCCCUCCCAGCUGAAAAUGAAACUUGAAGGGUGUCACCUGAUGAAGUUGGAGAUGAGGGAAUGCUGAAGUAGCGGACGUCGCGCGCUGCGGAAGCCGGUCCUCACGAGCCCCUAGGCCCAGGAGCCUCGGGAGGCUCCAGGGGCGCAGGCGGCUCUUCAAGGGCCAUCUCCAUCUCUGCCAGGACUGCGGAAUGCCUGACCUCCUGAGCCUCCAGAAUUCUCCUCAGCAGGCGCUGGUGAGCGGCAACUGCGUUCGGUAGGCUGAAAGGCAUGUGAACGUAGCUGUGAGAUGGACCCUCACAAUGCCCCACGCGCGAAGGCCAUAGGCGCUCUUGAGAUGCGGCUCGGUUGAGCCCUGGUACGUCGAUGCAGACGCGCAGCCCACCAUCCUCGCCUGGAUGGGGAGCUACCGCGGGUAAGCAGCGGCUGCCACUCAUGACUCUUGACUCCUGCAGCUCCUGAAUGCUUCUCGCGAUGAACUCCCGAGGGUUUGGCCCUCCUUGCCUCGCUCUUUCCUGAGGGAAACGUGCUUUGAAGCACGCCUCCAAGUGGUGCCCGAGCGCCUCCCUCAUGACCUUGGCAAAGUUGGUCGCCCUCCAGGAGAGAGCCCUCGAGCCUUGCCCGAGGAGGGCGCCGGGCGCGCCUUCCUAUGCGGCAGAAGGAGGCGCCCCUUGAUCGGGCGCGGAUCCUGACACAACACCAUUGGAGGGGCCUGCCUCCUAAGGGUUCGGACCGGGUGAUGCCUUCUUCUUCUUAGGGACUGCCUCGGGAAGUCUCCUGCCCCUGUGAUCUGGGUCUUCGAUUGCUGCGGCUUGAAAAGCACGUUCAAGAGAACACACUGCAUCCCUCUCCUCACAAGGCACCAUGAUGAAUCCACCACUUCCUGGCAUCUUGAGGACAUUGUAGCCAUGAUGAGUCACUGCCAUGAACUUGGCCAGAGUUGGGUACCCAAGGAUGGCAUUGUAUGGCAGGCGAAUGUGGGCGACAUUGAAGUCGAUAAGCUCGGUGCGGUAGUUGUUGCGCUGCCCAAAGGUGACAGGAAGGCGAACUUGCCCUAUUGGAACGGUGGAACCAUCAGUGACUCCUGCGAAGGGCUUGGUCGGCUGAAGCUGAUCGUAUGGCACUUAGAGAUUGUCGAAUGUCUCGACGGACAGGACGUUGAGUUCCGCUCCGCCAUCGAUGAGGGUCCUGGUGACUUGCACAUUGUUGAUGACUGGCGAGCAAAGCAUCGGGAGGGCUCCGGCCGUGGCUGCGCACUUGAGCUGAUCCGCGGAGUUGAACAUGAUAGCGCACGCUGACCACCUGAUAGGGCGCGUGGCCUCAAGCUUGGGGAGGACUGCAUUCACCUCGCGAGCAAACUGUUUGAUGAUGUGCUGAGAGGCUGGGGCCUGAGCGCCGCCUAGGAUGCAAGCGAUUGCGCGUGGCUCCUGGAAGCCCCCAGCCCCUUCGUCCUGAUGAUGGUCUUCAUUCCUCCUCGGCGGUGGUGGCAGAGGAGGGAGGCCUGCGUUGCCCUGAGGGUGAUCCUCACGAGGCUGAUCCCUCCAGCCUCCCUCACGAGGCUGGUCCUGCCAGCGGUCCUCGCGAGGUCGGUCACGCCACCCCUGGCGAGGGCCACGGUCUUCCCUUCGUCCUCCACCUCUUCCUCCUCCUCGUCCAUAGCCCCGGUCGUUGCACUCGGGGCGUCGGCCGAUACGCCCAUCUCGCACAGCCCUGAGCUCUCGGCAUUCAUUGGUGUUGUGGGUGUGGAGAUCGUGGUACACACAGUACCGGCUGCCCUUGGAUGACUCAGGCUGAUCCCUACCUCGCUUGGUGUCUGGCUCUGCUGCAAGCACAGCAGCCCCCUUGCGCUUCAUGUCCUUGACCUUGGGCUUCUUUUCUUCUGGAUCGGCGGCCGGAAGCUCGAGGAGGGAGAGGCGCCCUUCCUCAGCUCUGGCGCACUUGGUCACCAAGUUGAACAGCUCCAGGGAUGUGCACAUGUCUUCAUGGAUUGCUAACUCCUCCUUCAUCUUGAUGUCACGCAUGCCGUCAGAGAAGGCUGAGAUGAUGGCUUCCUCAGUCACCCUGGGGAUCUUGAGGCGAGCGUUGUUGAAACACUGGAUGUACUUCUGUAGGGUCUCUUCUAGCUAUUGCUUGAUGCGGCAAAGGUCGCUCAUGGCCGGGGGCCGGUCACGAGUGCCUUGGAAGUAGGCGAUGAAGCGAGUGCGCAUCUCGUCCCAAGAGGAAAUCGUGCCAGGAGCCAGGUUCAGGAACUAGGUGCGGGCACCGUCCUUGAGCGCCAUGGGAAACCAGUUCGCCAUGACCUUCGCGUCCCUAUUGGCGGCUUCAAUGCCCAGCUUGUAGAGCUGGAGGAACUCCGCAGGGUCAGCCGUGCCAUCGUAGCAUGGAGGCAGAUCGGGCUUGAACUUUCCCGGCCAAGCUAUGCUGCGCAGCUCGGAGGUGAAGGCACGAUAGCCCGAAGUGGUACAGGAGGCCUUUGGUGGCGAAGGGCUUGAUCUUGGAGAUCUCCGCGCGUUGCCGUCAGGAGCAGCGCGGGGUCUUGGCACGCUGGAGCAGGAGCGUGGUCAUGACGUGCCGGUGUAGGGAGCACGCGGGCAGCUUCUUGGGGACGAGGGAUCUCUUGGCAGCUCUUCUCCUGCUGUACGGUCGCUGGACGGAGCGGGUCACAUCCAGGGGCCGCACGCCUUGGGGCUAGGACGCCUUCUUGGUGAGGAGGUGGCGGAGGCACCUCCUGAUCCGCGCCUCCUAUGCAGGGUGGAGGGCGAGGCAGCGAGAGAGGGGGCAUAGGAGAGCCCCCUGCAGCGUUGACGAGCUCGGUGAUGCGGGCGAGCCAGUCCUCGUAGAGGUCAUCGACGGGACGGUAGUGCAGGAGCUCUCGCGCCAGGAGCAGCGCCGCGUGCGCGUAUGUGGGGGCGCGACGGACGUGAGACGACGAACCGGCUGGAGUCAGCGACGGGGUGGCGGUACGGCCUUCUUGCCGCACCGAAGGAUGCAGGGAUGAAGCCUGCUGCUCGUUCCCCGCCGGGCCAGUGGCGGCGUUGGCGACAGGCGACGGGGAACGACGGGGGCGUCUGCCGACGAGCGUCGUCUGGGCGACGCGGGUGGCGAGAGCAGCCCGGCGCUCGGCGCGGGCUUAAGAGCGUCAGACAUGGAUGCGAUGGACGGCGAAACGCAAGACGGCGAAAGGCGUGAUUCCGACACACCCCUACCUAGCGCGCCAAAUGUCGGAUAUCGGGUUCUGGCAGACCCUUAAGGUUCGAACUCUAGGGUGCGCAUGGAGAUCACUCCCCCUACCGGCUCAUGUCUCGUCGCCUCGCAAAGGAUCUAGGCUACAUGAAGAACAACACAAGGGACGCAGGGUUUAUACUGGUUCAGGACACCAUUGUGGUGUAAUACCCUACUCCAGUGUGUGGUGUGUGGAUUGCCUCAGGGGCUGAUGAUGAACAAUACAAGGGAAGAACAACCUCGCGAGGGGAGGAGUUCUUGUGUUGGUGUGGUGGUUCUGGCUAGGGUUCGAAUGGUUGAUCUCCUCUCUGUCUGUCUGUCUGUUUGCCUUGAGGGCGGCUAGUCCUAUUUAUAGAGCAAGGCCCUGGUCCUCUUCCCAAAUAUUGAGCGGGAAGGGCGCCAACAAUUGGUCAUUUUGAAGGGGAACAUCUAGUACACUUAUCCUGACUAAAGUGGUCCUCGCCUGCCAAAGGCUCUGACGAUGAUGCCUUCCUGGGCUCCAGGAUGACCUCCAUCCUGCCGUCCUGCUGGUCUUGGUCUUGUUGCACCGAAACGGUAACCUUUUCCUGAUGCCUUGGCCUGUGCUUGCCCCAUUUGCACCGAAGGGGAAACAAGGACACUGCCCAGGCUGGCCCGCCUGGCACCCGCCUGGCUUCGGUCGUCAUGGCUUGCGUCACGGGCACCUCGUGAGGUACCCCGCCUUGAUCUCUCCGCCUCCUCGUGAGCCAGCCUGACGAGGCUGUUCCUACGGAAGCUUCCUGUCGUCCGCCCCGCGAGGCUUGGCCCCUCGCGAGGGUCUUGAGCUUGUGUUGACGAAGAUGGGCCAUACUGGGCCACUCCUUGAGCCACGCUGCAGGCCGCAGGCAGGCAAGUCUGGGUACCCCUGUUUCCAGAAUGCCGACAGCCGCCCUGCUCACCUCCGCCUCUUUUUUGGCUUGGGUGAGGGCGGUCUUGAGGGACUCGACCACGGCUGCGCCAACUAUGAGUAUAAUCAUAAAACUCGGUAAAUUUUAAGAAUCGUGCACAUAUUACUUCGGGUAUGUACAAGUGGCGCAUACCUUGAGUUUCGUCAAACCGCUUGUUGACGCGGUCGAGCUCCUCAUCGGCUAGCCGAAGCUUCCGGUUGAGCUCGAAAACCUCUACGGCUUGGGUAGUAGCCGCUAGCAUAGAUGUCAGUCCAACAAGAUAGUACGAUACAUUAUCAGCUUAUUUUGAUCCUCCAUCCGGAUUGUUCUAAUCCGGACAGAGUCUGAGGGGCUAUUGUCUAUACAUAGGUUCAACCUUGCACAUAAAAAAACUUGCAAGAGAAUUACAUCCCAUACCUCAAAGCCCGUCAGUAGGCUGUUGAAGGCCUAGUUCAGUCUGCUCUUCGCGGACCGAACCUUUUCCAUAACCACACCCAUCAGGGUGCGGUGCUCCUCCAUGAUGGAAGCACGUUGUAGUGCUUCCUCCAGAGUAUCAGCGGCCCCUGGAUUAACAGAGGCCGCUGAUGGAGCUGCUGCUCCUCCUUCUCUGUGGAAGGGGGUGUUGGUCCGAACCCGGAUCCACAUUGGUCUCCGGGGUGGUGUUCGGUGAGGGCCCAAACUGUUGAGGCCCCGCACCCUCAAUGGUCAUGGGGGUCGUCGUGCCCCGCUCUACGGCAUCCGAGAUGUUACCCUCGUGCGCCUUCUGGAUGGCCUCGUCCGCCCCUCCUCGGCUAGGAGAAGUCCUUUGGGACUACACCUCGGUGUCCUCCAUGGCAGGGGGAGAAGGCUCACGAUGGUCCGUUGCUUGAUGUCUUCUAUGCAACCUUCUCCUUGUAGACGUUGUUGGGCCUCCAAGUGCAGAGGUUUGUAGGACAGUAGCAAAUUUUCCUCAAGUGGAUGACCUAAGGUUUAUCAAUCUGUGGGAGGCGUAGGAUGAAGAUGGUCUCUCUCAAGCAACCCUGCAACCAAAUAACAAAGAGCCUCUUGUGUCCCCAACACACCCAAUACAAUGGUGAAUUGUAUAGGUGCACUAGUUCGGCGAAGAGAUGGUGAUACAGGUGCAAUAUGGAUGGUAGAUAUAGGUUUUUGUAAUCUGAAAUUAUAAAAAUAGCAAGGUAACUAAUGAUAAAAGUGAGCACAAACAGUAUUGCAAUGCUUCGAAACAAGGCCUAGGGUUCAUACUUUCACUAGUGCAAGUUCUCUCAACAAUAAUAACAUAACUAGAUCAUAUAACUAUCCCUGAACAUGCAACAAAGAGUCACUCCAAAGUCACUAAUAGUGGAGAACAAACGAAGAGAUUAUUGUAGGGUACGAAACCACCUCAAAGUUAUCCUUUCUGAUCGAUCUAUUCAAGAGUCCGUAGUAAAAUAACACGAAGCUAUUCUUUCCAUUCGAUCAAUCAUAGAGUUCGUACUAGAAUAACACCUUAAGACACAAAUCAACCAAAACCCUAAUGUCACCUAGAUACUCCAAUGUCACCUCAAGUAUCCGUGGGAAUGAUUAUAUGAUACGCAUCACACAAUCUCAGAUUCAUCUAUUCAACCAACACAAAGUACUUCAAAGAGUGCCCCAAAGUUUCUACCAGAGAGUUGCCAACCCCUAUGCAUAAGUUCAUUGAACCCGCAAGUUAAUCACCAAAACACACAUCAAGUAGAUCACGUGAAUAUCCCAUUGUCACCACAGAUAAGCACGGCACGACAUACAUCAAGUGUUCUCAAAUCCUUAAAGACUCAAUCCGAUAAGUUAACUUCAAAGGGGAAACUCAAUCCAUCACAAGAGAGUAGAGGGGGAGAAACAUCAUAAGAUCCAACUAUAAUAGCAAAUCUCGCGAUACAUCAAGAUCGUAUCACCUCAAGAACACGAGAGAGAGAGAGUGAGAUCAAACACAUAGCUACUGGUACAUACCCUCAGCCCUGAGGGUGAACUACUCCCUCCUCAUCAUGGAGAGCGUCGGGAUGAUGAAGAUGGCCACCGGUGAGGGAUCCCCCCUCCGGCAGGGUGCCGAAACAGGGUCCCGAUUGGUUUUUGGUGGCUACAGAGGCUUGUGGCGGCGGAACUCCUGAUCUAUUCUGCUACUCGAUGUUUUAGGGUAUAUGGACAUAUAUAGGCAAAAGAAGUCGGUCAGGGGAGACACGAGGGGCCCACGAGGGUGGGGGGCAUGCCCAGCGGGGUAGGGUGCGCCUCCCUGCCUCGUGGCUUCCUCGUUGCUUCCCUUACGUGCACUCCAAGUCUCCUGGAUUGCUUCCGUUCCAAAAAUAACUCUCCCGAAGGUUUCAUUCCGUUUGGACUCCGUUUGAUAUUCCUUUUCUUUGAAACACUGAAAUAGGCAAGAAAACAACAAUUUGGGCUGGGCCUCCGGUUAAUAGGUUAGUCCCAAAAAUAAUAUAAAAGUCUAUAAUAAAGCCCAUAAACAUCCAAAACAGAUAAUAUAAUAGCAUGAAUGCUUCAUAAAUUAUAGAUAUGUUGGAUACGUAUCAGCAUCCCCAAGCUUAAUUCCUGCUCGUCCUCGAGUAAGUAAAUGAUAAAAGAAAUAAUUUAUGAAGUGUGAAUGCUAGCAGGUGCAUAAGUUUGAUCAAUGAUAAUUUCAAUCACCUUUUCUAGUGUCAUUAUAUGUCAUAGGCCAAAGUGAGUAGGGAUGCGGAGUAGAGCCUCGCACACGAUGAUAAACGCCGAGAUGUGGAGGAAAGAGUUCGGGGCUAGAUCAUGGAAAUCUUACCCGUAAUAGAACAUUAGUCCUUGGACGAAGGGGUGGAGUAGAAAACCUAACCCUCUAAGGAAAUGGGGGAGGAAGACAACCCUUUCACCGGGCUCCGGAGUGGGGAUGAUAUGACCCUUGGGGGGAGCCUGUGCGUGAUGGUUGCGGCUAGGUAUCCCACACUUCGGAGAUCCUUUAUCUCCUUCUCCAUGAUGGAGGAGGCCUCCCACUUGCCCUUGGAACCAGAUCCGGCCAUGGUCGGAGGAGGCGGUGGUGGUGAGGAAGACGAAAACUUUUCGGGCGCUGAGAGCUUGGGAGAUUGGAAGGCUGAGGAGAUUGGAAGGUGUGGGGGAGAAAGGAGAAAUACAUUGCCCUAUUAUAAGCGGUAAAAAUGCCAACCGUCCCCCACUUAUGCCUUGCAACUCCCAUAUUCCCAACAAAAGCGUGCGCCAUAAACGGUUGGAUUACCCAAAUUUUAUUGGUGAGCAAUCCCGUAAUAAGUGGGCACGAUCUUUGUUUUGACAGGACGGGCCAAUGGGCCUUGGCCUCGAAACACAGAACGCGGGGUGUGAAAACGUUUCAAAAUGUUGAAGGGUCAAGUCUGACGCUUCGCCGAAAAAGUUGUCAGUAAAGACAUUGUUCCUAUUUUUAUAUAUCCUGCCUUCGCGGCUAAGGGUUGUGUUAAUUAUGCAAGGCCGAAUACAGUUCUUUUAUGGAGGAAAGCGGACGUAUAUUGUUUAGGGAACCCGCCUCGCAAUGCCGAAGAUAAUCUCCGCACCGAACACAUUGUCAUUGAAGACUGGUUCAAGGGCUACUAAGGGAGUCCUGGACUAAGGGUUCAUCGGGCGUCCGGUCUAUUGGAUAUGGGCCAGACUGAUGGGCCGUCAAGAUACAAGGUAGAAUACUACCUCUCGUGUCCGGUAGGGACUCUUGUAUACGUGGAUGGCAAGUUUAGGUGUCCGGAUAUACUAUUUCCUUUCUGUUAAACCGACUUUGUACAACCCUAAGCCCCUCCGAUAUCUAGAUAAACCGGAGGGUUAGAUCGAAGGCAGGACCAAAACAUUGAUAGGCUAGCCAAGCUAGGGUUUAGCCAUUACAAUCUCGAGGUAGAUCAACUCUUGUAACCCCUAUACUCAUCGAAUAUAAUCAAGCAGGAGUAGGGGUUCACCUCCAUUAAGAGGGCCCAAACCUGGGAAAACACUGUGUCCUUUUGAUCGUAGUUACUGUCGAUCCUCAGACAUACAGCUUGGGCCUCCCGACCUGAGAUCUGCCGAUUUUGAUACCGACAAUGGGGAUUACAAAGUUGAUCUACCACGAGAUCAGAUAAAUUAAAUCCUAGACUAGUAGGAUGGUGAUUGUUGUCUUAGCCUCUACGGACUAAACCCUCUGGUUUAUAUAGACACAAGGGGUACUAGGGUUUACAUAUAGUCAGUUACAUCAAGGGAAUGUCGGAUCUUCCAUCUUGCCUUGGAGCAUGCUACUUCUUGAGCUUGCAUUGGUUUUUCUCUUGAAGAGGAAAGGGUGAUGCAACAAAGUAGAGAUAAGUAUUUCCCUCAGUUUUGAGAACCAAGGUAUCAUUCCAGUAGGAGGUACGAACAUGUCCCUAAUCUAUGCACCUGCACAAAAAAUCAAACACUUGCACCCAACACGAUAAAGGGGUUGUCAAUCCCUUCACGGUCACUUGCAAGGAUGAGAUCUGAUAGAGAUAGAUAUAAAAGAUUACUAAAACGUAAAACAAAGUAAAAAUAAAUAAAUUACAGCAAGAUAUUUUGUGUUUUUUGUUUUAUAGAUCUAAAAAUAUAUGAUAGUAAGUAGACCCGGAGGCCAUCGGUUUCACUAGAGGCUUCUCCCUUGAAAGAAAACAUGCGGUGGGUGAACAAACUACUGUCGAGCAAUUGAUAGAAAGUGCAAACUUAUGACGAUAUCCAAGGCAAUGAUUAUGAAUAUAGGCAUCACGUCUGUGUCAAGUAGACCGAAACAAUUCUGCAUCUAGUACUAUUACUACAUACAUUGAUCGCUAUCCAACAUGCAUCUAGAGUAUUAAGUUCAUCAGGACGGAGUAACGCUUUAAAUAUGAUGACAUGAUGUAGAGGGAUAAACUCAAGCAAUAUGACAUAAACCCCAUCUUUUACCCUUGAUGGCAACAAUACAAUACGUGCCUCGCUACCCCUACUUUGUCACUGGGUGAGGACACCGCAAGAUUGAACCCAAAACUAAGCACCUCUCCCAUUGCAAGAAGAAUCAAUCUAGAUGGCCAAACUAAACCAAUAAUUCGAAGAGAAAUACAAAGAUAUCAAAUCAAGCAUAUACGAAUUUAGAGAAGAUUCAAAUAAUAUUCGUAGGUAAUCUGAUCAUAAAUCCACAAUUCAUCUGAUCUCGACAAACACACCGCAAAACAAAUUACAUCGGAUAGAACUCCAAGAACAUCAAGGAGAACAUGGUAUUGAAGAUCAUAAAGAGAGAAGAAGCCAUCUAGCUACUAGCUAUCGACCCAUAGGUCUGUGGUAAACUAAUCACGCUUCAUCGAUAGGGGAAUAGAGUUGAUGUAGAUUCCCUCCGUGAUUGAAUCCCCCUUUGGCAGGGUGUCGGAAAAGUCCCCAGAUGGGAUCUCACCGGAACAGAGGCUUGUGGUAGAGGAAAACUAUUUUCUUGGAUGCUUUUGAUGUUGGGGGAAUAUUUGAGGAUUUAUAGAGCUGAGAGGGAGGUCGAUGGACUCCCGGGGAGGCACAAGCUAGCCCCCCCCCUAGGGCGCGCCUCUAGGGCUUGUGGAGCCCUCGGGACUCUUCUGACUUGGCCUCCAAGUUCCGUGGAUGUCUUCUGGUCCAUGAAAAAUCAUCAGGAAAGUUUUAUUCCGUUUGGACUCCGUUUGAUAUUCCUUUUUUGCAAAACACAAAAACAAGGAAAAAACAGAAACUGACACUGGGCUCUAGGUUAAUAGGUUAGUCCCAAAAAUAAUAUAAAAUAGCAUAUCAAUGCAUAUAAAACAGCCAAAACAGAUAAUAUAAUAGCAUGGAAUAAUCAAAAAUUAUAGAUACGUUGGAGAUGUAUCACAACACUGAAGGAAAUAUGCCCUAGAGUCAAUAAUAAAGUUAUUAUUUAUUUCCUCAUAUCAUGAUAAAUGUUUAUUAUUCAUGCUAGAAUUGUAUUCACCGGAAACAUGAUACAUGUGUGAAUACAUAGACAAACAUAUAGUCACUAGUAUGCCUCUAAUUGACUAGCUCAUUAAUCAAAGAUGGUUAUGUUUCCUAACCAUAGACAUGUGUUGUCAUUUGAUUAAUGGGAUCACAUCAUUAGGAGAAUGAUGUGAUUGACAUGACCCAUUCCGUUAGCCUAGCACUUGAUCGUUUAGUAUAUUGCUAUUGCUUUCUUCAUGACUUAUACAUGUUCCUGUAACUAUGAGAUUAUGCAACUCCCGUUUACCGGAGGAACACUUUGGGUGCUACCAAACGUCACAACAUAACUGGGUGAUUAUAAAGGAGUACUACAGCUGUCUCCAAAGGUACAUGUUGGUUUGGCGUAUUUCGAGAUUAGGUUUUGUCACUCCAAUUGUCGGAGAGGUAUCUCUGGGCCCUCUCGGUAAUGCACAUCACUAUAAGCCUUGCAAGCAAUGUAGCUAAUGAGUUAGUUACGGAAUGAUGAAUUACGUAACGAGUAAAGAGACUUGCCGGUAACGAGAUUGAACUAGGUAUUAGAUACUGACGAUCGAAUCUCGGGCAAGUAACAUGUCGAUGACAAAGGGAACAACGUAUGUUGUUAUGCGGUUUGACCGAUAAAGAUCUUCGUAGAAUAUGUAGGAGCCAAUAUGAGCAUCCAGGUUCCGCUAUUGGUUAUUGACCGAGAAUAGUUCUAGGUCAUGUCUACAUAGUUCUCGAACCCGUAGGGUCUGCACGCUUAACGUUACGAUGAUAGUUUUAUUAUGAGUUUAUAUAUUUUGAUGUACCUAAGGUUGUUCGGAGUCCCGGAUGUGAUCCAGGACAUGACGAGGAGUCUCGAAAUGGUCGAGACAUAAAGAUUGAUAUAUUGGAAGCCUAUAUUUGGAUAUCGGAAUCGUUCCGGGAGAAACCGAGAUUUUUCCGGAGUACCGGGGGGUUACCGGAACCCCCCCGGGGGUUAUUGGGCCUACAUGGGCCAUGAGGGAGAAGAGGAGGGCCGGCCAGGGCAGGCUGCGCGCCCCCUCCCUCCCUAGUCCGAAUAGGACAAGGAGGGGGGCGGCGCCCCCCCUUUCCUCUUUCCCCUCCCCCCUUUCCUUCUCCACCAAGGCAAGAGGGGGGAGUCCUACUCCCGGUGGGAGUAGGACUCCUCCAGGCGCACCCCUUGGGGCCGGCCGCACCUCCCCCUCCCUCCUUUAUAUACGGGGGCAGGGGGAACCCUAGAACACACAAGUUGAUCUACGUGAUCGUUCCUUAGCCAUGUGCGGUGCCCCCCUCCACCAUAUUCCACCUCGGUCAUAUCGUCGCGGAGUUUAGGCGAAGCCCUGCGCCGGUAGAACAUCAUCAUCGUCACCACGCCGUCGUGCUGACGGAACUCAUCCCCGACACUUUGCUGGAUCGGAGUCCGGGGAUCGUCAUCGAGCUGAACGUGUGCUGAACUCGGAGGUGCCGUACGUUCGGUACUUGGAUCGGUCGGAUCGUGAAGACGUACGACUGCAUCAACCGCGUUGUCAUAACGCUUCCGCUUACGGUCUAUAAGGGAACGUGGACAUUACGCUCCCCUCUCGUUGCUAUGCAUCACCAUGAUCUUGCGUGUGCGUAGGAAUUUUUUUUGAAAUUACUACGUUCCCCAACAGUGGCAUCCGAGCCAGGAUUUAUGCGUAGAUGUUAUAUGCACGAGUAGAACACAAGUGAGUUGUGGGCGAUACAAGUCAUACUGCUUACCAGCAUGUCAUACUUUGGCUCAGCGGUAUUGUGAGAUGAAGCAGCCCGGACCGACAUUACGCGUACGCUUACGCGAGACUGGUUUCACUGUUACGAGCAUUCGUGCUUAAAGGUGACUGGCGGGUGUCUGUCUCUCUCACUUUAGCUGAACCGAGUGUGGCUACGCCCGGUCCUUGCGAAGGUUAAAACAGCAUUAACUUGACGAUCUAUCGUUGUGGUUUUGAUGCGUCUGUAAGAACUGUUCUUGCUAAAGCCCGUAGCAGCCACGUAAAAUUUGCAACAACAAAGUAGAGGACGUCUAACUUGUUUUUGCAGGGCAUGUUGUGAUGUGAUAUGGUCAAGACGUGAUGCUAUAUUUUAUUGUAUGAGAUGAUCAUGUUUUGUAACCGAAGUUAUCGGCAACUUGCAGGAGCCAUAUGGUUGUUGCUUUAUUGUAUGAAAUGCAAACGCCCUGUAAUUGCUUUACUUUAUCACUAAGCGGUAGCGAUAGUCGUAGAAGCAAUAGAUGGCGUAACGACAACGAUGCUAUGAUGGAGAUCAAGGUGUCGCGCCGAUGAUGAUGGUGAUCACGACGGUGCUUCGAAGAUGGAGAUCACAAGCACAAGAUGAUGAUGGCCAUAUCAUAUCACUUAUAUUGAUUGCAUGUGAUGUUUAUCCUUUAUGCAUCUUAUCUUGCUUUGAUUGACGGUAGCAUUUUAAGAUGAUCUCUCACUAAAUUAUCAAGAAGUGUUCUCCCUGAGUAUGCACCGUUGCGAAAGUUCUUCGUGCUGAGACACCACGUGAUGAUCGGGUGUGAUAGGCUCUACGUUCAAAUACAACGGAUGAAAAACAGUUGCGCACGCGGAAUACUCAGAUUAUACUUGACGAGCCAAGCAUAUACAGAUAUGGCCUCGGAACACAGAGACCGAAAGGUCGAGCGUGAAUCAUAUAGUAGAUAUGAUCAACAUAAUGUUGUUCACCGAUGAAACUACUCCAUCUCACGUCAUGAUCGGACAUGGUUUAGUUGAUUUGGAUCACGUGAUCACUUAGAGGAUUAGAGGGAUGUCUAUCUAAGUGGGAGUUCUUAAGUAAUAUGAUUAAUUGAACUUAAAUUUAUCAUGAACUUAGUACCUAAUAGUAUUUUGCUUGUCUAUGUUUGUUGUAGAUAGAUGGCUCGUGUUGUUGUUCCGUUGAAUUUUAAUGCGUUCCUUGAGAAAGCAAAGUUGAAAGAUGAUGGCAGCAAUUACACGGACUAGGUCCGUAACCUGAGGAUUAUCCUCAUUGCUGCACAGAAGAAUUACGUCCUGGAAGCACCGUUGGGUGCCAGGCCUGCUGCUGAUGCAACUGACGACGUUAAGAACGUCUGGCAGAGCAAAGUUGAUGACUACUCGAUAGUUCAGUGUGCCAUGCUUUACGGCUUAGAACCGGGUCUUCAACGACGUUUUGAGCGUCAUGGAGCAUAUGAGAUGUUCCAGGAGUUGAAGUUAAUAUUUCAAGAAAAUGCCCGGAUUGAGAGAUAUGAAGUCUCCAAUAAGUUCUAUAGCUGCAAGAUGGAGGAGAAUAGUUCUGUCAGUGAACACAUACUCAAAAUGUUUGGGUAUAAUAAUCACUUGAUUCAACUAGGAGUUAAUCUUCCUGAUGAUAGUGUCAUUGACAGAAUUCUUCAAUCACUGCCACCAAGCUACAAGAGCUUCGUGAUGAACUAUAAUAUGCAAGGGAUGGACAAGACUAUUCCCAAGCUCUUCGCAAUGCUAAAAGCCGCGGAGGUAGAAAUCAAGAAGGAGCAUCAAGUGUUGAUGGUUAACAAGACCACCAGUUUCAAGAAAAAGGGCAAAGGGAAGAAGAAGGGGAACUUCAAGAAGAACAGCAAACAAGUUGCUGCUCAAGAGAAGAAACCCAAGUCUCGACCUAAGCCUGAGACUGAGUGCUUCUACUGCAAGCAGACUAGACACUGGAAGCGGAACUGCCCCAAGUAUUUGGCGGAUAAGAAGGAUGGCAAAGUGAACAAAGGUAUAUGUGAUAUACAUGUUAUUGAUGUGUACCUUACUAAUGCUCGCAGUAGUACCUGCUAUUUGAUACUGGUUCUGUUGCUAAUAUUUGCAACUCGAAACAGGGACUACGGAUUAAGCGAAGAUUGGCUAAGGACGAGGUGACGAUGCGCGUGGGAAAUGGUUCCAAAGUCGAUGUGAUCGCGGUCGGCACGCUACCUCUACAUCUACCAUCGGGAUUAGUUUUAGACCUAAAUAAUUGUUAUUUGGUGCCAGCGUUGAGCAUGAACAUUAUAUCUGGAUCUUGUUUGAUGCGAGACGGUUAUUCAUUUAAGUCAGAGAAUAAUGGUUGUUCUAUUAAUAUGAGUAAUAUCUUUUAUGAUCAUGCACCCUUGAAGAGUGGUCUAUUUUUAUUGAAUCUCGAUAGUAGUGAUACACAUAUUCAUAGUGUUGAAACCAAAAGAUGCAAAGUUGAUAAUGAUAGUGCAACUUAUUUGUGGCACUGCCGUUUAGGUCAUAUCGGUGUAAAGCGCAUGAAGAAACUCCAUACUGAUGGGCUUUUGGAAUCACUUGAUUAUGAAUCACUUGGUACUUGCGAACCGUGCCUCAUGGGCAAGAUGACUAAAACGCCGUUCUCCGGAACUAUGGAGCGAGCAACUGAUUUGUUGGAAAUCAUACAUACUGAUGUUUGUGGUCCAAUGAAUGUUGAGGCUCGCGGCGGGUAUCGUUAUUUUCUCACAUUCACAGAUGAUUUGAGAAGAUAUGGGUAUAUCUACUUAAUGAAACACAAGUCUGAAACAUUUGAAAAGUUCAAAGAAUUUCAGAGUGAAGUGGAAAAUCAUCGUAACAAGAAAAUAAAAUUUCUAUGAUCUGAUCGUGGAGGAGAAUAUUUGAAUUACGAGUUUGAUUUACAUUUGAAACAAUGCGGAAUAGUUUCACAACUCACGCCACCCGGAACACCACAACGAAAUGGUGUGUCCGAACGUCGUAAUCGUACUUUACUAGAUAUGGUGCGAUCUAUGAUGUCUCUUACUGAUUUACCGCUAUGGUUUUAGGGUUAUGCUUUGGAGACGGCCGCAUUCACGUUAAAUAGGGCACCAUCAAAAUCCGUUGAGAUGACGCCUCAUGAACUGUGGUUUGGCAAGAAACCAAAGUUGUCGUUUCUUAAAGUUUGGGGUUGCGAUGCUUAUGUGAAGAAACUUCAACCAGAUAAGCUCGAACCCAAAUCGGAUAAAUGUGUCUUCAUAGGAUACCCAACAGAGACUGUUGGGUACACCUUCUAUCACAGAUCUGAAGGCAAGAUUUUCGUUGCAAAAUUCAGAUCCUUUCUAGAGAAGGAGUUUCGCUCGAAAGAAGUGAGUGGGAGGAAAGUAGAACUUGAUGAGGUAACUGUACCUGCUCCCUUAUUGGAAAGUGGUUCAUCACAAGAACCGGUUCCUGUGACAACUACACCAAUCAGUGAGGAAGCUAAUGAUAUUGAUCAUGAAACUUCAGAUCAAGUUUCUACUGAACCUCGUAGGUCUACCAGAGUAAGAUCCGCACCAGAGUGGUACGGUAAUCCUAUUCUGGAAGUCAUGUUACUUGACCAUGAUGAACCUACGAACUAUGAGGAAGCGAUGAUGAGCCCAGAUUCCGUAAAAUUGCAAGAGGCCAUGAAAUCUGAGAUGGGAUCCAUGUAUGAGAACAAAGUAUGGACUUUGGUUGACUUGCCCGAUGAUCGGCAAGCCAUUGAGAAUAAAUGGAUUUUUAAGAAGAAGACUGACGCUGAUGGUAAUGUAACUAUCUAUAAAGCUCGACUUGUUGCAAAAGGUUUUUGACAAGUUCAAGGGGUUUACUACAAUGAGACUUUCUCACCCGUAGCGAUGCUUAAGUCUGUCCGAAUCAUGUUAGCAAUUGCUGCAUUUUAUGAUUAUGAAAUUUGGCAAAUGGAUGUCAAAACUGCAUUCUUGAAUGGAUUUCUGGAAGAAGAGUUCUAUAUGAUGCAACCAAAAGGUUUUGUUGAUCCAAAAGGUGCUAACAAAGUGUGCAAGCUCCAGCGAUCCAUUUAUGGACUGGUGCAAGCAUCUCGGAGUUGGAAUAAACGCUUUGAUAGUGUGAUCAAAGCAUAUGGUUUUAUACAGACUUUUGGAGAAGCCUGUAUUUACAAGAAAGUGAGUGGGAGCUCUGUAGCAUUUCUGAUAUUAUAUGUAGAUGACAUAUUAUUAAUUGGAAAUGAUAUAGAAUUUCUGGAUAGCAUAAAGGGAUACUUGAAUAAAAGUUUUUCUAUGAAAGACCUCGGUGAAGCUGCUUAUAUAUUGGGCAUCAAGAUUUAUAGAGAUAGAUCAAGACGCUUAAUUGGACUUUCACAAAGCACAUACCUUGAAAAAGUUUUGAAAAAGUUCAAAAUGGAUCAGGCAAAGAAAGGGUUCUUGCCCGUACUACAAGGUGUGAAGUUGAGUCAAACUCAAUGCCCGACCACAGCAGAAGAUAGAGAGAAAAUGAAAGAUGUUCCCUAUGCUUCAGCCAUAGGCUCUAUCAUGUAUGCAAUGCUGUGUACCAGACCUGACGUGUGCUUAGCAAUAAGCUUGGCAGGAAGGUACCAAAGUAAUCUAGGAGUGGAUCACUGGACAGCGGUCAAGAACAUCCUGAAAUACCUGAAAAGGACUAAGGAUAUGUUUCUCGUAUAUGGAUGUGACAAAGUGCUAGUCGUAAAUGGUUAUGUCGAUGCAAGCUUUGACACUGAUCCGGACGAUUCUAAAUCGCAAACCGGAUACGUGUUUUUAUUAAACGGUGGAGCUGUAAGUUGGUGCAGUUCUAAACAAAGCGUUGUGGCGGGAUCUACAUGUGAAGCGGAGUACAUAGCUUCUUCGGGAGCAGCAAAUGAAGGAGUCUGGAUGAACGAGUUCAUUUCCGAUCUAGGUGUCAUACCUAGUGCAUCGGGACCAAUGAAGAUCUUCUGUGACAAUACUGGUGCAAUUGCCUCGGCAAAGGAAUCCAGAUUUCACAAGAGGACCAAGCACAUCAAGAGACGCUUCAAUUCCAUCCGGGAUCAAGUCCAGGUGGGAGACAUAGAGAUUUGCAAGAUACAUACGGAUCUAAAUGUUGCACACCCAUUGACUAAGCCUCUUCCACGAGCAAAACAUGAUCAGCACCAAGACUCCAUGGGUGUUAGAAUCAUUACUGUGUAAUCUAGAUUAUUGACUCUAGUGCAAGUGGGAGACUGAAGGAAAUAUGCCCUAGAGGCAAUAAUAAAGUUAUUAUUUAUUUCCUCAUAUCAUGAUAAAUGUUUAUUAUUCAUGCUAGAAUUGUAUUAACCGGAAACAUGAUACAUGUGUGAAUACAUAGACAAACAUAUAGUCACUAGUAUGCCUCUACUUGACUAGCUCAUUAAUCAAAGAUGGUUAUGUUUCCUAACCAUAGACAUGUGUUGUCAUUUGAUUAAUGGGAUCACAUCAUUAGGAGAAUGAUGUGAUUGACAUGACCCAUUCCGUUAGCCUAGCACUUGAUCAUUUAGUAUAUUUCUAUUGCUUUCUUCAUGACUUAUACAUGUUCCUGUAACUAUGAGAUUAUGCAACUCCCGUUUACCGGAGGAACACUUUGGGUGCUACCAAACGUCACAACAUAACUGGGUGAUUAUAAAGGAGUACUACAGGUGUCUCCAAAGGUACAUGUUGGGUUGGCGUAUUUCGAGAUUAGGUUUUGUCACUCCGAUUGUCGGAGAGGUAUCUCUGGGCCCUCCCGGUAAUGCGCAUCACUAUAAGCCUUGCAAGCACUAUAGCUAAUGAGUUAGUUACGGAAUGAUGCAUUACGUAACGAGUAAAGAGACUUGCCGGUAACGAGAUUGAACUAGGUAUUAGAUACCGAUGAUCGAAUCUCAGGCAAGUAACAUGCCGAUGACAAAGGGAACAACGUAUGUUGUUAUGCGGUUUGACCGAUAAAGAUCUUCGUAGAAUAUGUAGGAGCCAAUAUGAGCAUCCAGGUUCCGCUAUUGGUUAUUGACCGAGAAUAGUUCUAGGUCAUGUCUACAUAGUUCUCGAACCCAUAGGGUCCGCACGCUUAAUGUUACGAUGACAGUUUUAUUAAGCGUUUAUAUAUUUUGAUGUACCGAAGGUUGUUCGGAGUCCCGGAUGUGAUCCAGGACAUGACGAGGAGUCUCGAAAUGGUCGAUACAUAAAGAUUGAUAUAUUGGAAGCCUAUAUUUGGAUAUCAGAAUCGUUCCGAGAGAAACCGAGAUUUUUCCGGAGUACCGGGGGGUUACCGGAACCCCCCCCCCCCGGCGGGUUAUUGGGCCUACAUGGGACGUGAGGGAGAAGAGGAGGGCCAGCCAGGGCAGGCCGCGCGCCCCCUCCCCCCUAGUCCGAAUAGGACAAGGAGGGGGGGCAGCGCCCCCCCUUUCCUCUUUCCCCUCCCCCCUUUCCUUCUCCACCAAGGCAAGAGGGGGGAGUCCUACUCCCGGUGGGAGUAGGACUCCUCCAGGCGCACCCCUUGGGGNNNNNNNNNNNNNNNNNNNNNNNNNNNNNNNNNNNNNNNNNNNNNNNNNNNNNNNNNNNNNNNNNNNNNNNNNNNNNNNNNNNNNNNNNNNNNNNNNNNNNNNNNNNNNNNNNNNNNNNNNNNNNNNNNNNNNNNNNNNNNNNNNNNNNNNNNNNNNNNNNNNNNNNNNNNNNNNNNNNNNNNNNNNNNNNNNNNNNNNNNNNNNNNNNNNNNNNNNNNNNNNNNNNNNNNNNNNNNNNNNNNNNNNNNGGCGCCCCCCUUUCCUCUUUCCCCUCCCCCCUUUCCUUCUCCACCAAGGCAAGAGGGGGGAGUCCUACUCCCGGUGGGAGUAGGACUCCUCCAGGCGCACCCCUUGGGGGCCGGCCGCACCUCCCCCUCCCUCCUUUAUAUACGGGGGCAGGGGGGCACCCUAGAACACACAAGUUGAUCUACGUGAUCGUUCCUUAGACGUGUGCGGUGCCCCCCUCCACCAUAUUCCACCUCGGUCAUAUCAUUGCGGAGUUUAGGUGAAGCCCUGCGCCGGUAGAACAUCAUCGUCGUCACCACGCCGUCGUGCUGACGGAACUCAUCCCCGACACUUUGCUGGAUCAAAGUCCGGGGAUCGUCAUCGAGCUAAACGUGUGCUGAACUCGGAGGUGCCGUACGUUCGGUACUUGGAUCGGUCGGAUCGUGAAGACGUACGACUGCAUCAACCGCGUUGUCAUAACGCUUCCGCUUACGGUUUACAAGGGUACAUGGACAUUACUCUCCCCUCUUGUUGCUAUGCAUCACCAUGAUCUUGCGUGUGCAUAGGAAUUUUUUUUGAAAUUACUACGUUCCCCAACAAACACACACCAAGGCACAAAAGGUCUUCGGUCCGGAUACAGUGCGGCCCAAUAGUCCGACCCAUGAGAGAUAGGUCGGCAACCCGAGGACCCCCGAGUCCAUGACUCCCUCAACGGGGUCGACGCAACUACCUACCUGAGUCAGAGGAGGAUGAGAGCCUCGGAGCCGAGGACUAUAUAGUCCCCAAAGACCCGUUUGAGCAAGAGUGGUUCAGACGGUGGCUGAUGGCAACCACUAGAAGCAUGAAAAAGAAGCAGCAAAAGCUGUACGCCGAUCAAAACAAGCUCAACGACAAAUGGGUGGAAGUUCUCGUAACUGAGAGAGACCUUGAAUAACAGCGUGACAGCGCAUCCAAAUCCUACCCACACCGGCAUUUGCUGUUGUAAUUCGAUGAUGAGGAAACACCGCAACAGACAACAUGAUUUUGACGUGUGGUCGUGCCGACCAGCCUGGCCACAUCCUAGAGGACAUGAUAGGCCAGCAGGGGAGUAUAGGAACCCCCAAUGAUCAAUCCGCCAUUAUGGCAAGGACCCUGUCAACUACCCCAAGCCCUAUAAUGCACGAAGAAGGCUAGACGCAAAUCGAGCCCCUCCGCAAUCAAUCUAUGGGUCAAGGGGCACGCGCCAGCAGGACUCGACGGCUACGAGGCCUAGUUAGACAGAAACGAUAGAUUUUGCGAACAAGCUUAUGCACGGAUGUCUCUCGACGUCCAGCAUAAUAUAUCUCGAUUUCGAGGGCCUCUUAUCGAAUCUACUUCAUAGUUGAGGUGAUGGAACAUCAGUUCCUGGAUGGGUUUAAACCCAUAAACAUCGAAUAGUAUGAUGGGACGACCGGUCCAACCGCGUGGAUUGAAGAUUUCCUCCUCCAAAUCCACAUGGCUUAUGGAGACGAUCUCCAUGCCAUUAAAUACCUGCCGGUCAAACUUAAGGGACCAGCAAGGCAUUAGCCUAAUGGCCCACCUCCUCACUCCAUCGGGACCUAGGAGGCUCUCGAGGAUGCCUUUAGGGCAAACUUUUAGGGCACUUACAUUUGACUCUAUGUGCCAAUGACCUCAGCUACGUCAUUCAAUAGCCUGGCUAUUCAACCCGAAAAUUUUGGAAUCGAUUCUUGACUAAAAAGAACCAGAUAGUCGACUGCCUUGAUGCAGAGGCAAUUGUCGCCUUCCGCAUAGCAUCCGGGACGAGUGGCACACACAAUAGCUCGGGCAGGACAAGCCGAGGACCAGCUUUUGCAUGGGAGAAGACAAUUAGCUGGCUCACAGUUCCCGCGAUGGCGAGGUUGGCACCCGACGAGUCUAAUUUAUGUGGUGUUUUUACUAAGUAUUUUGUGCCUAUGGAGUAUGCUUUGUGGAAUUUUACUGCGUCCCCGCACUUCUUUUUGUUGAUAAUCCCUCAGGUAAUGUCUUUUGGAUCAGUUGCUAGUGUUAAUUUGUGGCGAGGUGGUCUCUUCAAGGCCGUUGACAUCUUCAUCCAUGUCUGUGGCCUCGUCAUAAUCUAACACAUCGGUUAAAUCAUCGAUCGUGGCGACUAGGUGGGUGGUGGGUGGGACGUAAAUUUCCCAGUCAUCGGCUUUAAGUCCGAUUCUGUCGUAAGUCGAGGUUCUGCUGUCCGAGAUCGACAAACUUUGGAUCCGGUCAAGCUUCUCAUUAAGGUGAGAUAACUCCUCGGGAUUCAUGUCCUAGUCGUAGGCCGGGUUAACUCGAAGUAGCAUCAGCAGGACGGCCAAUGCAUCUCGGACCGCGCCAGGAGCCAGAGUGGAUUCUAGAUCUAUGAUCGGGAUCGGUUCUAAGCCCAAUACCGGAUUCGAAGCCGAGCUCUGAUUUAAGUUGGAGCUGGGUGCUAUGAUGGAGUUGUCUGAGGUGGAAGAGGGUAGCCCCUCCACGCCUCGUGGUGUUGGAGGGCCUGAUGCGUCGUCCUCAAGAGAAGUCGGUUCCGAAAUCAAGCUUGUGAUGCUCGUCAAGCCGUGAAUCCGGCCAGGCGUCCAGCCCGACAGGACAAGCUCGCCGUGGGAAUCCAUGGUGUACUCCAAUCUCGACGGUGGCCAGAUGGCCUGUCGAGUCGGCGUAGAAAAUCAUGCUACCGAACACAAAAAAUGACCGAGGGCUGGCGGUGUCCUAGACUAGGGGGUACUCAGCACGUCGCCUCCCGACCAGGUGGGUUGGGCCGAGGACCCCCAUGGAGGUACACUAAUGUACUCCUUCGGGCAGCUCAUGAUGUAUACAAGGAGGAUUCCACAAGACUUGGUGCCCAAGACGAGGACUCCUCCAAAUCCUAGGCCUCCGGUAUAUUAUAUAAGCCGAGGCCAGGCUAGUCAAUAGAUCAUCUUAGAAUCAUAUACAACAAUCUAGUGGUAGAUAAUUGUACUCUGUACUAUCCUCAUAUCAAUACAAUUAAGAGAAGGACGUAGGGUAUUAUCUCCUCGAGAGAGCCCGAACCUGGGUAAAAUCCAGUGUCCAUGUUACCAUUGCUCCAAGACGCUAAGCUUAGGACUCCUACCUCGAGAUAUCCCGAAUUUAGCACCGACAUUGGUGGCCCAUGGAGGUCCCUGCUAUAGUUGCCAUGAUGCGAUGGGUAUUCAUAUCAGCUCCGGCGCGAUCUAUGCAUCGGAGCCGAGCUUUAUGGUCGACGUCAGCAUCUUCGUUGUCGGCUCGACUGGUCACCUCAGCUUGACCGAGAACUGCGCUCCAUGUUGGAUCAUCAAGAUCGAAUGAGCGUCGUCAUCUACUUCAACUCCGAUCUCUAUCAAGAUCAUGGAAGAUUCAUCCAUGGAUCUCGGGGGCUCAACGUCAACAUUGCCCUCGCGUAACCAUGUAGGUUUUUUUUUCUGGAUAGCAGAUUCGUGCCCGCCGUCCCCGCCUCCUCGAGUGUUGUUUAGAUGAAUCCUUUGGUAUAAUUGCGUGGAAGUGAGUCUAUAAUGAACCUACAAAAAUUCGUCGUGUUCCGAUGGAGGAAUCUCCGGUGAUCUACGAUAUACCGGAGCCCUGUCAAAUCUGGAAGUGAAUCUGGAGGAGUUUAGGGCCAUGAGUCCGCAAUCAGCUCGGGCAUCAUUUGGAAGAUCCAACCGUCCAUCUGCUGCGGAAUUCCUAUAUCAACCACCUCUCAAAAUUUCAAAUCAAUCUGACCGUUCAAACUCUAUGAACGGCCUAAGGACUGCGUCAAUUUUUGGAUCUGUUUUCUACGUGAAAACGAAUCCGACCCGAGUUCAUCUUUCUCGAUGAACAUGAAAUUAGACAUCCUUUCUAAAGGAAGUUUUUUUCUUGGGUAUUGUGUGUUUUUCUUAAACAUGUGCCUACAAAAUUUGUGCCUUUUACGAGGCAAUCUCCACCGUCAUGCCGGCAUUAAACCGGCCCGACCUCGUUGCUCCACGGAUGCCGAACUAGGCUAGACGGGUCGUCCCUCCGUCAAGCUGUCGUCAACCACAUCAGAUCAUCACCUCGGCGAGUCGACCAAGAGUUCGGCAUCGCAAAGGCCAAAUAAUUGUCAAGACAACAUCGUCGCCCGACGGGUUGCACGGAUCAUGAGCGGGAGGAUUGACCCGCGGUCAAUUCAUCAAGCCAGCAUUGACCAGUUCCGACCUAUGUCGGCAUCGCCACGCCGUUGCUUCUUCAAGACGAUACCCACCACGCUGACCUGCUUCGACACCUCGGCUGGCAUGGGGGCUGCAACGUCACCUUACCGACCUGCUCCAUCACCUUGGCUAGACUGGGGGCUUCGCCAUCGCUUCAUCGACAUACGCCGAGGACUUUGGCGUCGCUAGCCAACCAACUUCGUCACGUCAGCUGGACCGGGGGUUUUGCCUCACCAUAUCAAUUGUGCGGCGUCGCCACUUCGUCAAGCCGAGCUCUUUGCCCGAGCACCUCGGGACCGGCUUGAGGGCUGGGACCUCGAUCUGCCACAAGCUCGGCCCACAUCAGCAACGCCAAGCACAUUAAUCAGCUAAAUCACUUCCAUGCUCAACUUUUUUUGUUCAGUUCAUCCAAGCAUUAUAUUUGUGUUAAACAAAAAGUUGUCAAAAACUUUGUUUGUUAAAAACACUUCUUUUUCCCGUGUUAACUGUGGCCUCUUAAAUUUUUAUGAGCCAUUUUUAUAAUAAAUGUGCUUUCUUCUAAGUCAUUGGAAAGUCUUUUUCUACUACUCAUUUUUCCGACACGGGUGUGUGGGCAAUAGCCGGAUAGCCUAGUUUCUCUCUAAAGCCGCUCGAGUUUAGUUUGCUAAACUAGCCCGAGAAGCAUUCUGCCUUCGGGAUAGGAGGUUGAAGCCGAAGGCUGACCCGCUUGAAGUUUCGAGAUCGAAUGUAUCAUGUUAAAGCACGACGGAAGCACAAACUAAUCUUAAGACCCAUUUUCGGAUUGGCACCAAAAAUUUGUUUAGUUCGGACGUGAAGUUUUUACUAAAGUUUUUUGGUUUAGCGAGAUUAUGUCACCUUUAACCUAUUUUAUGUUUCCCUUUCAGGAGGCGAGAAAUCCUCUUGAUCAACGUGUUUUGCGUGAUAUUUUUGCUCGCGAAAUAUUUUCUGACCCGGAGUUCGGCAUCCUUCCCGCCGAGCUGCACCUCGGCGUUGUCAAAACAUACACCACAGUUGAACUAGUUCCCGAGGAGAUACGAUCCUAGGGUCAUCCAUGUUGCCCAACCCAAGUCUCCGGGGUUAUUGCAUUGGCGAUUCAAUGCAGAAAAUUUAAGUGCAAAAUAGUUUUCUAGAAGAUUACAAUUCUCAGGUUGGUCGGUUGCACCCAACCUGAGCCUCCAGGACUAUGCACACCGUGUUUCCGAGGAAAAAGUGCUGGAAUUUUGUCUAUUUUGGGCCUAGCCCAAUAGCAGUUUCGGAAAUUCCUAAUAAAUCCUAGAGGCCCACGCAGCCCAUUCGUGCAAGGCAAGAGGUGGAACUAAAGUUUAGUCCCACAUUGCUAGUUUAGAGGGAGUUGGACCUCUUUAUAAGGGAGGCUCCUUCCCCACUUGUAUGAGCAUGAGAACAAGAGGGACAUCCACGCGCGCUCCUCCUCUGCCGCCCGCCUCGCCACGCCACGCCUCGUCACGACGCGCCACGGGUUGCGGGUUGCGGGAAUGAGCCGAGCCGAUGUAAAUUUUUGCCAUGCACUACGGGUAUACGAAAGGGCACGCGAAAGCUGAAACGCUUUGCUGUAGUGGAGAUUGAAUACGAACGGUGCACCUCUUCGCAUGCUGCCUGUUCGUUUCGUCUCCCUCGUUCUCUUCAGCUCCCAGCGCAGCCUCUCACCUCCUUCUCUUGCGCCUAUAAAAGGGAGGUCGCUCCUCCCAGAGAGACGCACCAGAAUCUCUUCCUCCUCUCGCCACAAGUUCCUGAGCACUGCGCCGCUGCUACGUUCUUCCCCAUCCCGGCUUGCGGCGUGCACCGCAGGUCGGAACAGUAGGCCUCCGAAACCGCACCUUUUGAGUCAUGUACAGAGAAGGGUGAUAAGGUUUUUGGGGAGCGCUCUGCGCGACUACUGACUUCUUCGUCACGGACGCCCCGGACUCCGACGACUACUUCCCCGACGACGACUACUUCCCCGAUGUCGACUACCUCCUCGACGACAUGGAGGACACCGACCCCAAGUCCAGUGCCUCUGCCCCGGCUGCUGUCCAGUACGUGUUCUUAUCUUUCAUGUUAGAAGUCCUGCAAUAGUUCCUUCUUCUAAUGUUUGAAGUAGACAUGUUAUGCUCUACUUCAUAUAUGCAUCUUCAUCUACUAUCUGCUCUAGAGUUGAUUGGUUCUAGCUCAUAUAUGCAAAUAUUAUUUACUUUCUCUUUUUAAAAUCACAUGGCUUGUUUUAUCACUGCUAUACUAGUCAUGCUUUAUCUAGUAUUUCUGUUAAUAAAAUCAUUCGGUAAAUUGCUCAUAUUUCCAACAAUCCAAAAACCUUAUUAUAGGCAAUUUUUGACCUCCUAUGUUUGAGGGUAUCCACUAUAAGAGGUGGCGCGUGAGAGCAGUCUUAUGGUUUCAAACCACGAGUUGCUAUGACGCCACUCUUGGCAAACCCGAAGGAGAGCAAGAUGCCCAAUAGGCACAAGCUUUUCAGAAAAUGGAUACCUUGUUUAAGGCUGCUCUCUUGAGUGUUCUUGGUGAGAACAUUGUUGAUGCUUAUGCGUCAAUUGACAAUGGAAAAGACAUGUGGGACGCACUCGAGGCCAAGUUUGGGGUCUCGGAUGCCGGCACUGAGCUGUACAUCAUGGAGCAAUUCUAUGAUUACAGGAUGACUGAAGAGCGCUCCGUGGUUGAGCAGGCUCAUGAGAUACAGUCAUUUGCUAGAGAACUUGAGCACUUCAAUUGUAUCUUACCGGACAAGUUUGUUGCCGGGGGUAUCAUCACUAAGCUUCCUCCUUCGUGUAGGAACUUUGCUACCUUACUGAAGCAUAAGAGACAUGAGUUUUCCGUCCCGGAUCUCACUGGUACUCUUGAUGUGGAAGAAAAGGCGAGAGCAAAGGACACACGUGCUAGAGGUAUUGAGGGAUGAUCUAGAGCCAAUCUGGUACAGAAGAAAAACUUCCAGUCCCACAAGUUCAAGAACAAGGGCAAGUUUGAUGGUAAAGAAAAGUUCGAUGGGAAGAACAAGGCUGUGCAGCACACAAACUUCAAGAAGAAGAAUGACAAGAAGAAAGGUGCUUGUCAUGUGUGUGGAGAUCCUGAUCAUUGGGCUCCUAGUUGUCCUAAUCGCUAUGACAAGCGUCAUCUUGGGAAAGGCGGCAAGACCGCUAAUGUUGUCAUCGGAGACAUUGACAUGAAGGACGCUGGGUAUGGUAUAUUUCCCACUAUUCUUUCAGUAUGUCAUUCUCCUAAUUGGUUGAUUGACACGGGUGCUAAUGUGCAUGUAUGCGGUGAUAUUUCCAUGUUUUCGUCUUAUCAGACCGCAGGGACUUCAACCGUGCUGAUGGGCAAUGGUUCAAGUGCUUCUGUUCAUGGUAUUGGCACGGUCGAUCUAAAGUUUACUUCGGGGAAGAUCGUGCGGCUGAAGAACGUGCAUUAUGUCCCCUCCGUCAAUAAAAAUCUUGUUAGCGGAUCUCUUCUGUGUACAGAUGGCUAUAAGCUUGUCUUUGAGUCGAAUAAAUUUGUAAUAUCCAAGUAUGGAACCUUUGUUGGUAAAGGCUAUGAGUCAGGAGGCCUAUUUCGUUUAUCCUUAUCAGAUGUUUGCAAUAAAGUUGUUAAUCAUAUUUGCAACAAUAGUGAAUCAAAUGUGUGGCAUUCACGUCUUUGUCAUGUUAACUUUGGUUGCAUGUCGCGACUAGCGAAGUUGAACUUAAUCCCUAGUUUCACCACUGUCAAGGGAUCUAAGUGUCAAGUGUGUGUGCAAGCUAAGCAACCUCGUAAGUCUCACGUGACUGCGGAGACGAGAAAUCUUGCACCACUAGAACUUAUACAUUCAGAUCCAUGUGAAAUGAAUGGUGUUUUGACAAAAGGUGGAAAGAAAUAUUUCAUGACGUUAAUUGAUGACUCCACUAGAUAUUGCCGUGUGUAUCUUCUGAAAUCUAAGGAUGAGGCUUUGAACUUCUUCAAGAUCUAUAAAGCUGAAGUGGAAAACCAACUUGAUCGAAAAAUCAAGAGGCUUAGGUCCGACCGUGGUGGAGAGUAUUUUUUCAAUGAAUUUGAUGCUUUUUGUGCGGAACAUGGUAUAAUCCAUGAGAGGACGCCUCCCUACUCACCUCAAUCAAAUGGGGUGGCCGAAAGAAAGAACCAUACUCUAACUGAUUUGGUUAACGCCAUGUUAGAUACAGCGGGUCUCUCCAAGGCAUGGUGGGGGGAGGCGAUAUUGACUGCAUGUCAUGUCCUAAACCGAGUUCCCACAAAGAACAAAGAGAUAACUCCAUUCGAGGAAUAGGAGAAGAAAAGGUUAAAUCUCUCUUAUCUACGAACCUGGGGUUGUUUGACGAAAGUCAAUGUGCCAAUUCCAAAGAAGCGGAAGCUGGGACCAAAAACUAUGGAUUGUGUUUUCCUGGGAUAUGCUUUUCAUAGCAUUGGCUAUAGAUUCUUGGUUGUAAAAUCUGAGGUACCUGACAUGCAUGUCGGUACGAUCAUGGAGUCGAAUGAUGCGACUUUCUUUGAAGAUAUCUUUCCCAUGAAGGAUAUGGCUACCUCAUCUAAUCAGGAGAUGCCUAGUUCAUCGAAUCAGGAACCAGUUACAAUUACCGAACCUGCCAUUUCGAUGGAACACUUUGAAAGUCCUGUGGAGGGAAACAAUGAAGUUCCUACUAGGAGCAAGAGACAGAGGACUGUAAAGUCCUUUGGUGAUGAUUUUCUUGUGUAUCUCAUAGAUGACACUCCCAGUUCUAUUUCGGAGGCCUAUGCAUUGGAAGAUCUGACUACUGGAAGGAAGCGGUUCGUAGCGAGAUGGAUUCCAUCUUGGCGAAUGAAACUUGGAAGAUAACUUAUCGUCCUUAUGGGUGCAAACCUAUAGGAUGCAAAUGGGUAUUCAAGAAGAAGCUUAGGCCUGAUGGUACUAUUGAAAAGUACAAGGCUCGGCUCGUGGCAAAGGGUUAUACCCAAAAGGAAGGUGAAGACUUCUUUGAUACUUACUCACAUGUGGCUCGACUGACCACUAUUCGAGUUCUACUUUCACUAGCUGCCUCACAUGGUCUUUUCGUUCAUCAAAUGGAUGUUCAGACUGCUUUCCUAAAUGGAUAGUUGAAUGAGGAAAUUUAUAUGGAACAACCAGAUGGGUUUGUAAUAGAUGGUCAGGAAGGGAAAAUGUGCAAGUUGCUGAAGUCUUUGUAUGGACUCAAGCAAGCACCCAAACAGGGGCAUGAGAAGUUCGAAAGAACUUUAACAGCUACAGGCUUUGUUGUGAACGAAGCUGACAAAUGUGUGUAUUAUUGCCAUGGUGGGGGCGAGGGAGUUAUGCUUUGCCUGUAUGUUGAUGACAUACUGAUUUUCGGAACAAAUCUGAAUGUUAUUAAGGAGGUCAAGGAUUUCCUAUCUCGCUGUUUUGAGAUGAAGGAUUUAGGAGUGGCUGAUGUCAUUCUGAACAUUAAGUUGUUGAGAGAUGAUGAUGGUGGGAUUACAUUGCUUCAAUCUCACUAUGUGGAAAAGAUCUUGAGUCGCUUUGGCUAUAGUGACUGCAAGCCCUCUCCAACACCAUAUGAUGCUAGCGUGCUGCUUCGAAAGAAUCGAAGAAUUGCUAGAGAUCAAUUGAAGUAUUCUGAGAUUAUUGGCUCACUUAUGUACUUAGCCAGUGCUACAAGACCUGACAUCUCUUUUGUUGUUAGCAAACUGAGUCGGUUUGUUUCAAAACCAGGAGAUGUACAUUGGAAAGCUCUAGAGAGAGUUUUACGUUAUUUGAAAGGCACUGCGAAUUAUGAAAUUCACUACACUGGGCACCCAAAGGUGCUUGAAGGGUAUAGUGACUCAAACUGGAUCUCAGAUGCUGAUGAGAUAAAGGUCACGAGCGGAUAUGUAUUCACUCAUGGAGGUGGCGCUGUUUCUUGGAAGUCUUGCAAGCAGACCAUCUUAACGAGGUCAACAAUGGAAGCAGAACUCACAACACUAGAUACAACUAUGGUCGAAGCAGAUUGGCUUCGUCGGCUCUUGAAUGACUUGCCGGUUGUUGAGAAACCUGUACCGGGUAUCCUUAUGAACUGCGAUAAUCAAACUGUGAUCACGAAAGUGAACAGUUCAAAGGAUAACAUGAAGUCAUCAAGACACGUUCAGAGAAGGUUAAAGUCUGUCAGGAAAAUGAAAAACUCCGAAGUUAUUGCAUUGGAUUAUAUCCAAACGUCUAAAAAUCUGGCUGAUCCUUUUACUAAGGGUCUAUCACGUAAUGUGAUAGAUAAUGCAUCGAGGGAGAUGGGUAUGAGACCCACAAUAUGAGUUGUUCACAGUGGUAACCUAUUCUUUGUGAUUGGAGAUCCCAUGAAUUAGAUGUGGAAGACAAGCUGUUGGUCAACUGUGAGGAGAGUAUCCUUACUGUUAAAAUACCACUCCAUGAAGAUGCAAUACUCUCCUAAUCUGCAUGGCAGGUUGAUGUUUAUCUUAAGGUGUUCUAAGUGGCUCUUUGAAGCAGAGAUGUUGUCCUGCAGAACAUCUUUUGAAGAACGCACCUAUAUGAGUCUGAUUGUUAAACGUCACAAUCUAUGAGAAUAGGGUUCUCUCUAGUAAAAUCAUGAAAGGUCUCGGAGUAUGACGCAUAAGCUCCACCCGCGGGGAAGACCCACGGUAGCCACGUAUCGGUCAAGGCUUUAUGUGAAGCUAGAUUCACAGAAAACUUGCAGUUCAAGGCCCAUUCCACUGUGCAAGUUGCUUACUAGUGUAGCAUAGAGUUCUAGGUGAAAGUUCAACUUAUCAGUCUCCACUGCAGUACCGGUAUAUAAAACAGUGUUUUGGAACCAAAGGCAAAUUUUGUGUGCCUCUGGGAUCUGGUGGGGGAUUGCUGGAAUUUUGUCUAUUUUGGGCCUAGCCCAAUAGCAGUUUCAGAAAUUCCUAAUAAAUCCUAGAGACCCACGUAGCCCAUUCGUGCAAGGCAAGAGGUGGAACUAAAGUUUAGUCCCACAUUGCUAGUUUAGAGGGAGUUGGACCUCUUUAUAAGGGAGGCUCCUUCCCCACUUGUAUGAGCAUGAGAACAAGAGGGACAUCCACGCGCGCUCCUCCUCCGCCGUCCACCUCGCCGCGCCACGCCGCGCCGCGGGUUGCGGGAAUGAGCCGAGCCGAUGUAAAAUUUUGCCACGCACUACGGGUAUACGAAAGGGGACGCGAAAGCUGAAACGUUUUGAUGUAGUGGAUAUUGAAUACGAACGGCGCACCUCUUCGCCUGCUGCCUGUUCGUUUCGUCUCCCUCGUUCUCUUCAGCUCCCAGCGCAGCCUCUCGCCUCCUUCUCUUGCGCCUAUAAAAGGGAGGUCGCUCCUCCCAGAGAGACGCACCAGAAUCUCUUCCUCCUCUCGCCACAAGUUCCUGAGCACUGCGCCGCUGCUACGUUCUUCCCCAUCCCGGCUUGCGGCGUGCACCGCAGGUCAGAACAGUAGGCCUCCGAAACCGCACCUUUUGAGUCAUGUACAGAGAAGGGUGAUAAGGUUUUUGGGGAGCGCUCUGCGCGACUACUGACUUCUUCGUCACGGACGCCCCGGACUCCGACGACUACUUCCCCGACGACGACUACUUCCCCGACGUCGACUACCUCCUCGACGACAUGGAGGACACCGACCCCAAGUCCAGUGCCUCUGCCCCGGCUGUUGUCCAGUACGUGUUCUUAUCUUUCUUGUUAGAAGUCCUGCAAUAGUUUCUUCUUCCAAUGUUUGCAGUAGACAUGUUACGCUCUACUUCAUAUAUGCAUCUUCACCCACUGUCUGCGCUAGAGUUGAUCGGUUCUAGCUCAUAUAUGCAGAUAUUAUUUACUUUCUCUUUUUCAAAUCACAUGGCUUGUUUUAUCACUAUUAUACUAGUCAUGCUUUAUCUAGUAUUUCUGUUAAUAAAAUCAUUCGGUAAAUUGCUCAUAUUUCCAACAAAAAGCACCUUAAGGAUCUAAAUUGGAGUUUAUCAGCACGAGACCAGCUUUAUCUCCGAAAAAGAAAAUCUAGCUUUUGAAAGCUGUAAAUUGAAAGCUAACAUAAUGUCAGGUGUCGAAAGUAAAAUGGAAUAUAAAACAAGUAUAUACAGUAAAAUAAAUCACUGUUGGGGCGCCUGUGCCCUCGCCAAUGAGGCCAUGGCCACCCUCCAUUUCGUAUGAUAUCGGUCACCGAGAAAUGCACUGAUACAGGCUUUCACAUGGCUCUACUAUGCAACGUUUUACAGGGCAAUGUACGUGCAUGCAUAGAGCAUAUGCUCCACCGACGCCCCGUUUACGACGCCCCGUUUACGCACACACUGACUGAAGCUGUGAAGCAGUGGAACCCCGGAGCGACCAACCGGGAAACCUCCCCCGCGUGCCUAUCCUCUCCAUCACAUGCGGUCACAAGCAUCCAACACCCCAUCGUCUAUAUAAGCAGCGGUAUGGAGCACCAUUCUUCUCAGAACCACACUCAGCUAAGAGAGCCAGUAGCAGGGAGUGUAGUGAGAGUAGAGUGAGCGAGAAUGGGUGGCAAAGCCGCUCUCCUGGUGGCCCUCCUGGCCGUGAGCCUGGUCCUCGAGGCCCAGGCGGGCAGCGGCUACGGCGGCGGGCACGCCCCCACCCCGACGCCGGUCGCCCCACCCCCCAAGCACGAGAAGCCACCCAAGGGGCACAAGCCCCCUCACCACCACCACCACGCCAAACCACCGGCCGCCUCCCACGGGCCGCCGACGCACGCUCCGGCGCCACCCACCUACAGUCCCCCGACGCCUAAACCUACCCCUCCGGCCCCUAAACCCACACCACCCACCUACGCCCCGAUCCCGAAGCCGCCGAAGCCAUCUCCCUCGCCUCCGGCGUACCACCCUACGCCCAAGCCUGCACCUCCCACNNNNNNNNNNNNNNNNNNNNNNNNNNNNNNNNNNNNNNNNNNNNNNNNNNNNNNNNNNNNNNNNNNNNNNNNNNNNNNNNNNNNNNNNNNNNNNNNNNNNNNNNNNNNNNNNNNNNNNNNNNNNNNNNNNNNNNNNNNNNNNNNNNNNNNNNNNNNNNNNNNNNNNNNNNNNNNNNNNNNNNNNNNNNNNNNNNNNNNNAUACAAGCCCCCGACGCCUACUCCUCCGGCGUACAAGCCCCCCACCCCGAGCCCCCCGCCUCCGCCGUACCACCACUAAGAAGAUCCACCACUCUGUCAAGCUGGGAGCCCAGGUACGUGCAAACAACAUCAGUCUACAUUCUUGCAUGGACGCACCAUUUGUUCGAAUAGCACCAACUAACUCAGAGAACGUUUUUGUUUGCAGAAUGCGGUCGAGAAGAGUUGUGCGAGCAGGCCAAGAAGAGCCACGUACGGCGUCGUUGAUCCUCCUCCGGUGUGUGUUGCUGCCGAACUAGGGCCGAUCUCUCAGGAGAUGGAAUAAUGCAGAUGGCUCCCAUUAGUUUAUCUUACCAGCUUAUCAUUUGUGUUCGUCCAGUGUUAGCGUCUGUGUUGCUAGUGUGGCAAUGUGCCCGUGUCACUGUAAAACCAUUGAUCACCACGGAAAUGGAAGUAAAAGGUGUUGUUUCCUGUUGCAUGUAACGUGAUCGCGUCUCUGUUUUGCUGCUCUUCU
RNAcentral lists this long non-coding RNA (34328 nucleotides) under Triticum aestivum (bread wheat). Its description in RNAcentral is "long non-coding RNA (TAES_LNC022625)". The record is from RNAcentral. Lineage: Eukaryota; Viridiplantae; Streptophyta; Magnoliopsida; Poales; Poaceae.